This 215-nucleotide ribosomal RNA is filed under the name uncultured bacterium. RNAcentral's name for it is "partial 16S ribosomal RNA". It matches the Rfam family "Bacterial small subunit ribosomal RNA", at positions 1286 to 1500 of the family's 1533-position model. The record is from RNAcentral.
UCCCAGUUCGGAUUGUAGUCUGCAACCCGACUACAUGAAGCUGGAAUCGCUAGUAAUCGCGAAUCAGAAUGUCGCGGUGAAUACGUUCCCGGGUCUUGUACACACCGCCCGUCACACCAUGGGAGUUGGAAAUGCCCGAAGUCAGUGACCCAACCGCAAGGAGGGAGCUGCCGAAGGCAGGUCCGGUAACUGGGGUGAAGUCGUAACAAGGUACC